RNAcentral lists this ribosomal RNA (391 nucleotides) under uncultured Corynebacterium sp. RNAcentral describes it as "bacterial SSU rRNA". It matches the Rfam family "Bacterial small subunit ribosomal RNA", at positions 47 to 436 of the family's 1533-position model. Lineage: Bacteria; Bacillati; Actinomycetota; Actinomycetes; Mycobacteriales; Corynebacteriaceae. The record is from RNAcentral.
CUUAACACAUGCAAGUCGAACGAUGAAGCGGUGCUUGCACCGUGGAUUAGUGGCGAACGGGUGAGUAACACGUGGGUGAUCUGCCCUGCACUUCGGGAUAAGCCUGGGAAACUGGGUCUAAUACCGGAUAUGACCGCAUUGUUAGUGGGUGUGGUGGAAAGGUUUUUUUCCGGUGCAGGAUGAGCCCGCGGCCUAUCAGCUUGUUGGUGGGGUAAUGGCCUACCAAGGCGUCGACGGGUAGCCGGCCUGAGAGGGUGUACGGCCACAUUGGGACUGAGACACGGCCCAGACUCCUACGGGAGGCAGCAGUGGGGAAUAUUGCACAAUGGGCGCAAGCCUGAUGCAGCGACGCCGCGUGGGGGAUGACGGCCUUCGGGUUGUAAACCCCUUU